Molecule: non-coding RNA, 34 nt
Filed under: Trichobilharzia regenti
Lineage: Eukaryota; Metazoa; Platyhelminthes; Trematoda; Strigeidida; Schistosomatidae
Source: RNAcentral
GAGUCCCAAAUAGGAGGAAAUGCGCAUCCUGGAU